RNAcentral lists this ribosomal RNA (253 nucleotides) under uncultured bacterium. Its description in RNAcentral is "partial 16S ribosomal RNA". It matches the Rfam family "Bacterial small subunit ribosomal RNA", at positions 524 to 776 of the family's 1533-position model. The record is from RNAcentral.
UACGUAGGUGGCAAGCGUUGUCCGGAAUUAUUGGGCGUAAAGCGCGCGCAGGCGGUCCUUUAAGUCUGAUGUGAAAGCCCACGGCUCAACCGUGGAGGGUCAUUGGAAACUGGGGGACUUGAGUACAGAAGAGAAGAGUGGAAUUCCACGUGUAGCGGUGAAAUGCGCAGAUAUCAGGAAGAACACCCGUGGCGAAGGCGGCUCUCUGGGACGUGACUGACGCUGAGACGCGAAAGCGUGGGGAGCGAACAGG